This 628-nucleotide ribosomal RNA is filed under the name uncultured bacterium. RNAcentral describes it as "bacterial SSU rRNA". It matches the Rfam family "Bacterial small subunit ribosomal RNA", at positions 338 to 956 of the family's 1533-position model. The record is from RNAcentral.
CCUACGGGAGGCAGCAGUGGGGAAUUUUGGACAAUGGGCGAAAGCCUGAUCCAGCAAUGCCGCGUGAGUGAAGAAGGCCUUCGGGUUGUAAAGCUCUUUUGUCAGGGAAGAAAACGGUGAGAGCUAAUAUCUCUUGCUAAUGACGGUACCUGAAGAAUAAGCACCGGCUAACUACGUGCCAGCAGCCGCGGUAAUACGUAGGGUGCAAGCGUUAAUCGGAAUUACUGGGCGUAAAGCGUGCGCAGGUCGGUUUUGUAAGUCUGAUGUGAAAUCCCCGGGCUCAACCUGGGAAUUGCAUUGGAGACUGCAAGGCUAGAAUCUGGCAGAGGGGGGUAGAAUUCCACGUGUAGCAGUGAAAUGCGUAGAUAUGUGGAGGAACACCGAUGGCGAAGGCAGCCCCCUGGGUCAAGAUUGACGCUCAUGCACGAAAGCGUGGGGAGCAAACAGGAUUAGAUACCCUGGUAGUCCACGCCCUAAACCGAUGUCUACUAGUUGUCGGGUUCUUAAUUGACUUGGUAACGCAGCUAACGCGUGAAGUAGACCGCCGUGGGGAGUUACGGUUCGCAAGAUUAAACNCAAAGNGAGUUGGACGUUGNGAGAGCGACGACGACGACGACGGAGGAGGAGG